RNAcentral lists this ribosomal RNA (116 nucleotides) under Larimichthys crocea (large yellow croaker). The record is from RNAcentral. Lineage: Eukaryota; Metazoa; Chordata; Actinopteri; Sciaenidae.
GGCUACGGCCAUACCACCCUGAACACGCCGAUCUCGUCCGAUUGGAAGCUAAGCAGGGUCGGGCCUGGUUAGUACUUGGAUGGGAGACCGCCUGGAAAUACCAGGUGCUGUAAGCU